CAUUUUAUUUUGUAAUGGCAUAAAAACUUAAAAAAAAUUGAAUCAACUGUUUGGCAGAAUGUAGAAAAAAUUCUGUGUCCUUGGUGUAAAAGAAUCCAUGGGUAAAAAUGUGCCUGGGAACCAAAAGCUUGUGUUUGUUUUUUUGGUUUUUCUUUUUUAAAGAAAACUGUUUGAAAAUGCUUUUCAUUGCAUGCUUAGCUGGAGAAAAGUACAGGCAGAUGUCCCAUCUCCAAGCCACUUUUCAAAGGUGCUGCUGUGUUUAUAAAACCAGGUACAUUUAGGGUAGUAUUUACAAGGACAUCCCUGCUUAGCCUAUCCCUUUGGCUAGAAAACUCUAGAAUAUUAGCCACAGGGUCUGAAUUCCUGCAGCUUCUCUGGACCACCCUCCUGCCCCGCCUCCCCAGCCGGUCUGGGAAGAUGGCAGUCUAUUGACCUGUGGCGUCUCCGUGGGGACCUUCCUCCCUGGCCACCCGGUGAGCUUCACCCCCCUGGUAGCAAAGGUGUGGCAGCACUAGAGCUACUUCCUGCCGGACAAAGCUCCCGGAGAAAAGCCACUGGCGCAGUUAGCUGGUGGGGUUGGGACCCCACAGGAGAACAGGUGCAAGGCCCUGCGCUCACCUAGCAAGAGGCCAAGGGUCAGGGUCCUCCUGGCUGGUGUCAGGCGCCUCUCGAAGACACCCCCCUCCCCCGCCCCAACGAUCCAGGCUGCACUGGCCUAUGCCAUCCUGGGGACCAGACCUUCCCUGGCCCCCUCCUGGGUCAGCGGGACUGACCUCAUGGCACCCCCACCCCCAUUUCUAACACCAGCGCUCCUUCCAGCCUUUUUUCAUCGACUGACUGGGCCCCACGAAUAGGCUGCAGGCCCACAAGCACCAACUUGCCCCUCGGUGGUUGACAGGCCAAUUUUGGUUUGCUGCUCUUGGUCAGUACAGAAGGGGCUGCCCGUGCUACUUUCCAGUGAGCAUGCUCAUUGUGGUGUUUGCACAUACAACUUAACAUCUUCGUGGAGUGUGAGUUUUAUUUUUUACAUAUUUGUAUGCAGUAGAGGGCUUGUUUUAGAAAACUCUCCCUGUAUCUUACUGUACUGUUCAAGAAAGCUGAAUUCCACAUUGCCAACAGAAGCGUGAAAUGUUCAUGAACCUUCCUCCAG
Molecule: long non-coding RNA, 1150 nt
Filed under: Canis lupus familiaris (dog)
Lineage: Eukaryota; Metazoa; Chordata; Mammalia; Carnivora; Canidae
Description: lncRNA (ENSCAFG00000057775.1)
Source: RNAcentral